RNAcentral lists this transfer RNA (76 nucleotides) under Deltaproteobacteria bacterium. RNAcentral describes it as "tRNA-Val". It matches the Rfam family "tRNA". Rfam says of the family: Transfer RNA (tRNA) molecules are approximately 80 nucleotides in length. Their secondary structure includes four short double-helical elements and three loops (D, anti-codon, and T loops). Further hydrogen bonds mediate the characteristic L-shaped molecular structure. tRNAs have two regions of fundamental functional importance: the anti-codon, which is responsible for specific mRNA codon recognition, and the 3' end, to which the tRNAs corresponding amino acid is attached (by aminoacyl-tRNA synthetases). tRNAs cope with the degeneracy of the genetic code in two manners: having more than one tRNA (with a specific anti-codon) for a particular amino acid; and 'wobble' base-pairing, i.e. permitting non-standard base-pairing at the 3rd anti-codon position. The record is from RNAcentral. Lineage: Bacteria; Pseudomonadati; Myxococcota; Myxococcia. RNAcentral also lists the same sequence under 2 other names.
GGGCGGGUAGCUCAGCUGGGAGAGCACCGGCCUUACAAGCCGGGGGUCACAGGUUCGAUCCCUGUUCCGCCCACCA